UACGAAGGGGGCAAGCGUUGUUCGGAAUUAUUGGGCGUAAAGAGCUCGUAGGCGGUUUGUCGCGUCUGCUGUGAAAACUCGGGGCUUAACUCCGGGCCUGCAGUGGGUACGGGCAGACUGGAGUGCGGUAGGGGAGAAUGGAAUUCCUGGUGUAGCGGUGGAAUGCGCAGAUAUCAGGAGGAACACCGAUGGCGAAGGCAGUUCUCUGGGCCGUAACUGACGCUGAGGAGCGAAAGCGUGGGGAGCGAACAGG
RNAcentral lists this ribosomal RNA (253 nucleotides) under uncultured bacterium. RNAcentral's name for it is "partial 16S ribosomal RNA". It matches the Rfam family "Bacterial small subunit ribosomal RNA", at positions 524 to 776 of the family's 1533-position model. The record is from RNAcentral.